GGUCCCGUAGUUCAAUGGAUAGAAUACAAGAUUCCGGUUCUUACGAUAUGGGUUCGAUUCCCGUCGGGACUACCA
This 75-nucleotide transfer RNA is filed under the name Alistipes sp. An116. RNAcentral's name for it is "tRNA-Arg". It matches the Rfam family "tRNA". Rfam says of the family: Transfer RNA (tRNA) molecules are approximately 80 nucleotides in length. Lineage: Bacteria; Pseudomonadati; Bacteroidota; Bacteroidia; Bacteroidales; Rikenellaceae. RNAcentral also lists the same sequence under 1 other name. The record is from RNAcentral.